UACGGAGGGUGCGAGCGUUGUCCGGAAUUAUUGGGCGUAAAGGGCUCGUAGGCGGUUUGUCGCGUCGGGAGUGAAAACCAGGUGCUUAACACCUGGCUUGCUUUCGAUACGGGCAGACUAGAGGUAUUCAGGGGAGAACGGAAUUCCUGGUGUAGCGGUGAAAUGCGCAGAUAUCAGGAAGAACACCGAUGGCGGAGGCAGUUCUCUGGGCCGUAACUGACGCUGAGGAGCGAAAGCGUGGGGAGCGAACAGG
Molecule: ribosomal RNA, 253 nt
Filed under: uncultured bacterium
Lineage: Bacteria
Description: partial 16S ribosomal RNA
Rfam family: Bacterial small subunit ribosomal RNA
Source: RNAcentral